GGUCUUGACAUCCACAGAACUUUCCAGAGAUGGAUUGGUGCCUUCGGGAACUGUGAGACAGGUGCUGCAUGGCUGUCGUCAGCUCGUGUUGUGAAAUGUUGGGUUAAGUCCCGCAACGAGCGCAACCCUUAUCCUUUGUUGCCAGCGGUCCGGCCGGGAACUCAAAGGAGACUGCCAGUGAUAAACUGGAGGAAGGUGGGGAUGACGUCAAGUCAUCAUGGCCCUUACGACCAGGGCUACACACGUGCUACAAUGGCGCAUACAAAGAGAAGCGACCUCGCGAGAGCAAGCGGACCUCAUAAAGUGCGUCGUAGUCCGGAUUGGAGUCUGCAACUCGACUCCAUGAAGUCGGAAUCGCUAGUAAUCGUGGAUCAGAAUGCCACGGUGAAUACGUUCCCGGGCCUUGUACACACCGCCCGUCACACCAUGGGAGUGGGUUGCAAAAGAAGUAGGUAGCUUAACCUUCGGGAGGGCGCUUACCACUUUGUGAUUCAUGACUGGGGUGAAGUCGUAACAAGGUAACCGUAGGGGAACCUGCGGUUGGAUCAC
RNAcentral lists this ribosomal RNA (549 nucleotides) under Escherichia coli. RNAcentral describes it as "partial 16S ribosomal RNA". It matches the Rfam family "Bacterial small subunit ribosomal RNA", at positions 977 to 1526 of the family's 1533-position model. RNAcentral also lists the same sequence under 1 other name. Lineage: Bacteria; Pseudomonadati; Pseudomonadota; Gammaproteobacteria; Enterobacterales; Enterobacteriaceae. The record is from RNAcentral.